AGAGUUUGAUCAUGGCUCAGGAUGAACGCUGGCGGCGUGCCUAAUACAUGCAAGUCGAGCGAACCGAUUAAGAGCUUGCUCUUAAGAAGUUAGCGGCGGACGGGUGAGUAACACGUGGGUAACCUGCCUAUAAGACUGGGAUAACUCCGGGAAACCGGGGCUAAUACCGGAUAAUAUUUUGCACCGCAUGGUGCGAAAUUGAAAGGCGGCUUCGGCUGUCACUUAUAGAUGGACCUGCGGCGCAUUAGCUAGUUGGUGAGGUAACGGCUCACCAAGGCGACGAUGCGUAGCCGACCUGAGAGGGUGAUCGGCCACACUGGGACUGAGACACGGCCCAGACUCCUACGGGAGGCAGCAGUAGGGAAUCUUCCGCAAUGGACGAAAGUCUGACGGAGCAACGCCGCGUGAGCGAUGAAGGCCUUCGGGUCGUAAAGCUCUGUUGUUAGGGAAGAACAAGUGUUAGUUGAAUAAGCUGGCACCUUGACGGUACCUAACCAGAAAGCCACGGCUAACUACGUGCCAGCAGCCGCGGUAAUACGUAGGUGGCAAGCGUUAUCCGGAAUUAUUGGGCGUAAAGCGCGCGCAGGUGGUUUCUUAAGUCUGAUGUGAAAGCCCACGGCUCAACCGUGGAGGGUCAUUGGAAACUGGGAGACUUGAGUGCAGAAGAGGAAAGUGGAAUUCCACGUGUAGCGGUGAAAUGCG
RNAcentral lists this ribosomal RNA (702 nucleotides) under uncultured bacterium. Its description in RNAcentral is "bacterial SSU rRNA". It matches the Rfam family "Bacterial small subunit ribosomal RNA", at positions 8 to 690 of the family's 1533-position model. The record is from RNAcentral.